UAUCUUUGACCCAUUAUUAGAGAUGCAAAAAACAAGCAUAUUUUCAAAUGGUGCUCUGCACAGCCAGUGGUGUAUCUGUUUUGAUGCCAUUAUUCUUCACAAAAUAUGAUGAUAAUGCUAUCUUUUAACAAAAAAACAAAGUUUGAUUCCACAGAAGCAGCUGGAAAUGGAUUACCACAAUAAACUUAAAUCCGUUAAGAACACACAGUUUGACAUAUACUGCUAAAAGUUUCUCAUAUUUAGGAAUUCUUUUAAGAAAAAUACUUACAUUGAGUUUUAGCAGGUGUGUAUGUGGAUAAAUAUGGGAAAAUUCAUUUCCCAAUGGUAACCUGGAAUUUGAGUUUAAAAUUUUUUUUUUAAUAUGUAUUUAAUGAUUGAAACACUUUGAAGAAG
Apteryx haastii (Great spotted kiwi) is the source of this 393-nucleotide unclassified non-coding RNA. NCBI's taxonomy places the organism in Eukaryota, Metazoa, Chordata, Aves, Apterygiformes, Apterygidae. The record is from Ensembl.